Molecule: long non-coding RNA, 1340 nt
Filed under: Marmota monax (woodchuck)
Lineage: Eukaryota; Metazoa; Chordata; Mammalia; Rodentia; Sciuridae
Source: RNAcentral
AAAAACUAAGGUAAAAUACAGAGAAAAUACUGAUAGAAAUCAAAAUCAGUUUUUGGCAAAAGAAGCCAAGAACACAAUGAAAAAUCAAAGAGAAAACAUUAAGGGAAUAUCCUUAAAAUAAGAAAAAAAUAGGAAAAAGCCACUCUUCAAAAACAUAAGUGACCCCUAAACAUAAAAAGAACUUCACUGAUAUUAAGAAAAUGCAAAUUAAAACAAUAAAGUGCUAUCAAAAAUAAAUGGUGCUUAUGGCAGUGAUGUAAGGGAAAAAUAGUUUCAUGCACUGAAAGUGGGGUGGAUGAUAAAAUGGCUCAAUCUUUCUAAAAGGCAGUCUGGAAACAUGCACCAAAGGUUAAAAUGCGAGCAUUCUGUUUCACCCAGCAACUCUGCUUCUGGGGAUUUACCACGGGAAUGUUCAGAGGUGUGGGCAAAGCUGUGUGGAUGAGGGUGUUCACUGCAGCAUUGCUCAGAAAAUGGAAAAGCCCUUGGCUCCCGUGGUUUCCAUGCACAUCACAAUGAUUUACAGCCAUUAAAACUCUUACAGAAUACAGUGUUGACAGAAAAACAGGACACAUGACCCCAUAUUUGUUAUCUAUCUUCUCUGAUAACUACUAGUAGGAUGUACACUAGAAUGUCAUUAGCCCAUUAAUUAAUUCCCAGGUUUUCAAUUCUGUGAAUAUUUCAAUGAAAUUAACACAAGUGCAUUAAAAUCGGUCAGAAAUCAUAAUCUAGAGAUUAUGUGUAUAUAUAUAUUGAAAUUAUAAUCAUGUCCACAUAUAUUCCUACUAUAUACCACUAUAUACAUGUAUUAUAUUCCUACUGCUAGACUUUUUUUGGUGGGGGGAUACUAGGGAUUGAACUCAGGGGCACUUGACCGCUGAGCCACAUCCCCAACCCUAUUUUGUAUUUUAUUUAGAAACAGGGCCUCACUGAGUUGUUUAGCACCUCGCUUUGAACUUGAGGUCCUCCUGCCUCAGCUUCCCGAGCUGCUGGGAUUACAUACAGGCAUGCGCCAUGGUGCCCAGCCUGUUAUGUUCUUUUGUAACUAUAUAAUUACAUAUUGUAUACUAAGGUUUUUAUAGGUGUUCCACAUCUAGGACCAUGGGACAAAAUGGGUUCAUGUUUUGGUUAUGCUAGAGGUACAUAUUUUUGUUGUUUCUUACAGCUCUUGGAACAGGGUCUGCUAUAUAAAUGGUGCCCAGUAUACGUUUUUUUAACAAAUCUAGUAUUUUCUGCAAUGAGCAAGCUUGACAUCAAUAGUUAAGAAUUUUACUCAAUGAACUAUCUUUUAUAAAAGACUUAAAUUUCCUGCAAAUCUAUCAGUCCAUUCCAUCCUACCUGCU